This 486-nucleotide ribosomal RNA is filed under the name uncultured bacterium. Its description in RNAcentral is "bacterial SSU rRNA". It matches the Rfam family "Bacterial small subunit ribosomal RNA", at positions 15 to 518 of the family's 1533-position model. The record is from RNAcentral.
GAUCAUGGCUCAGGACGAACGCUGGCGGCGUGCUUAACACAUGCAAGUCGAGCGGAAAGGCCCUCGGGGUACUCGAGCGGCGAACGGGUGAGUAACACGUGAGCAACCUGCCCUAGGCUUUGGGAUAACCCUCGGAAACGGGGGCUAAUACCGAAUAUAACUUCUGGUCGCAUGAUCGGGGAGUGGAAAGUUUUUCGGCCUGGGAUGGGCUCGCGGCCUAUCAGCUUGUUGGUGGGGUGAUGGCCUACCAAGGCGACGACGGGUAGCCGGCCUGAGAGGGCGACCGGCCACACUGGGACUGAGACACGGCCCAGACUCCUACGGGAGGCAGCAGUGGGGAAUAUUGCACAAUGGGCGGAAGCCUGAUGCAGCCGACGCCGCGUGAGGGAUGACGGCCUUCGGGUUGUAAACCUCUUUCAGCAGGGACGAAGCGUGAGUGACGGUACCUGCAGAAGAAGCGCCGGCCAACUACGUGCCAGCCGCCGC